CGAAAACGAAUUCUCUCUUGAGUGGAUCCUGAGUACGACGGAGCACGUGAAAUUCCGUCGGAAUCUGGGAGGACCAUCUCCUAAGGCUAAAUACUCUCUAGUGACCGAUAGUGAACCAGUACCGUGAGGGAAAGGUGAAAAGUACCCCGGAAGGGGAGUGAAAGAGAACUUGAAACCGUGUGCUUACAAGUAGUCAGAGCCCGUUAAUGGGUGAUGGCGUGCCUUUUGUAGAAUGAACCGGCGAGUUACGAUCUGAUGCAAGGUUAAGCAGAAAAUGUGGAGCCGUAGCGAAAGCGAGUCUGAAUAGGGCGAAUGAGUAUUUGGUCGUAGACCCGAAACCAGGUGAUCUACCCUUGGUCAGGUUGAAGUUCAGGUAACACUGAAUGGAGGACCGAACCGACUUACGUUGAAAAGUGAGCGGAUGAACUGAGGGUAGCGGAGAAAUUCCAAUCGAACUUGGAGAUAGCUGGUUCUCUCCGAAAUAGCUUUAGGGCUAGCCUCAAGUGAUGAUUAUUGGAGGUAGAGCACUGUUUGGACGAGGGGCCCCUCUCGGGUUACCGAAUUCAGACAAACUCCGAAUGCCAAAUAAUUUAACUUGGGAGUCAGAAUGUGGGUGAUAAGGUCCAUAUUCGAAAGGGAAACAGCCCAGACCACCAGCUAAGGUCCCAAAAUAUAUGUUAAGUGGAAAAGGAUGUGGCGUUGCCCAGACAACUAGGAUGUUGGCUUAGAAGCAGCCAUCAUUUAAAGAGUGCGUAAUAGCUCACUAGUCGAGUGACACUGCGCCGAAAAUGUACCGGGGCUAAACAUAUUACCGAAGCUGUGGAUUGUCCUUUGGACAAUGGUAGGAGAGCGUUCUAAGGGCGUUGAAGCAUGAUCGCAAGGACAUGUGGAGCGCUUAGAAGUGAGAAUGCCGGUGUGAGUAGCGAAAGACGGGUGAGAAUCCCGUCCACCGAUUGACUAAGGUUUCCAGAGGAAGGCUCGUCCGCUCUGGGUUAGUCGGGUCCUAAGCUGAGGCCGACAGGCGUAGGCGAUGGAUAACAGGUUGAUAUUCCUGUACCACCAUUAUUCGUUUUAAGCGAUGGGGGGACGCAGUAGGAUAGGCGAAGCGUGCUGUUGGAGUGCACGUCCAAGCAGUGAGAUUGAGUGUUAGGCAAAUCCGGCACUCUUAAGAUUGAGCUGUGAUGGGGAGAGGAACUUGUUCCUCGAGUCGUUGAUUUCACACUGCCGAGAAAAGCCUCUAGCUAGAAUAACGGUGCCCGUACCGCAAACCGACACAGGUAGUCAAGAUGAGAAUUCUAAGGUGAGCGAGCGAACUCUCGUUAAGGAACUCGGCAAAAUGACCCCGUAACUUCGGGAGAAGGGGUGCUCUUUGAGGUUCACGCUUCGAAGAGCCGCAGUGAAUAGGCCCAAGCGACUGUUUAUCAAAAACACAGGUCUCUGCUAAACCGUAAGGUGACGUAUAGGGGCUGACGCCUGCCCGGUGCUGGAAGGUUAAGAGGAGUGGUUAGCGCAAGCGAAGCUACGAAUCGAAGCCCCAGUAAACGGCGGCCGUAACUAUAACGGUCCUAAGGUAGCGAAAUUCCUUGUCGGGUAAGUUCCGACCCGCACGAAAGGCGUAACGAUUUGGGCACUGUCUCAACGAGAGACUCGGUGAAAUCAUAGUACCGGUGAAGAUGCCGGUUACCCGCGACAGGACGGAAAGACCCCGUGGAGCUUUACUGUAGCCUGAUAUUGAAAUUCGGUACAGUUUGUACAGGAUAGGUAGGAGCCUUAGAAGCGUGAGCGCUAGCUUACGUGGAGGCAUUGGUGGGAUACUACCCUAAUUGUAUUGGAUUUCUAACCCGCAGCACUUAUCGUGCUGGGAGACAGUGUCAGGCGGGCAGUUUGACUGGGGCGGUCGCCUCCUAAAGAGUAACGGAGGCGCUCAAAGGUUCCCUCAGAAUGGUUGGAAAUCAUUCAUAGAGUGUAAAGGCAUAAGGGAGCUUGACUGCGAGACCUACAAGUCGAGCAGGGUCGAAAGACGGACUUAGUGAUCCGGUGGUUCCGCAUGGAAGGGCCAUCGCUCAACGGAUAAAAGCUACCCCGGGGAUAACAGGCUUAUCUCCCCCAAGAGUUCACAUCGACGGGGAGGUUUGGCACCUCGAUGUCGGCUCAUCGCAUCCUGGGGCUGUAGUCGGUCCCAAGGGUUGGGCUGUUCGCCCAUUAAAGCGGUACGCGAGCUGGGUUCAGAACGUCGUGAGACAGUUCGGUCCCUAUCCGUCGUGGGCGUAGGAAAUUUGAGAGGAGCUGUCCUUAGU
This 2297-nucleotide ribosomal RNA is filed under the name Staphylococcus pseudintermedius. Its description in RNAcentral is "partial 23S ribosomal RNA". It matches the Rfam family "Bacterial large subunit ribosomal RNA", at positions 380 to 2682 of the family's 2925-position model. The record is from RNAcentral. Lineage: Bacteria; Bacillati; Bacillota; Bacilli; Caryophanales; Staphylococcaceae.